CCAUUUUUUUUCGUGAAAACCCUAGUCGUCGAAACCAGCAGCCGGCCUUUGAGUCUGCGCCAACCAUACGCACCUCCAGUCAGACGUCAGUUCCGCUAUCCUAGUCGCUUUGCGAAAACGCUCUCGGUCGCUCAGUGUUUGCAGUCUGAAGCAGUCGCUCGUCGACCCUCUAGCGCCGCUUUCCGUCCAGCGUCUCUGGUCAGUCGCGUUCGUGGUGCAACCCUUUCGCCGCACCAUUGUCAAUUCCAAUCGCGAACAUCCGCUGUUCUUCGCAUCGAGCACGGGUUCGAAGGCCAGCCACCUCUGUUCGACAAGCCAUUGCCGCAAGUCCCAGGUCAGCUGUAGUUAGUCCGCUCGGUCGGAGUUGCAUCGCGCCGACAGUUCUGUGCAGGUCCAGUCCAUUUUCACAGCCGUUAUUGUCUUGGUCAUUGGUUUUGGAUAGAUUGAUUGGUUGAGGUACAGUUAGUGGGUUUAUUCGGAUUAUUGAAGUUGUUGUCCAGCCAACUAAAGGCCUAGUCGGCGAAUUUUUGGUGAAAGGUUUCAUUGGGCAAGGAAGAGGCUAAGCUUGCUAGUUUCUAGAGUUUCCGAUUAGAGGUAAGGGUAGAGAUGCACCGGUGAUGGCGCAGCUGAAUUCGUGAUCGUGCCACUGGGACUAGU
This is a long non-coding RNA of Benincasa hispida (wax gourd), 657 nucleotides long. RefSeq lists it as uncharacterized. The record is from RefSeq and is a predicted model, not a curated record. Lineage: Eukaryota; Viridiplantae; Streptophyta; Magnoliopsida; Cucurbitales; Cucurbitaceae.